GUAUUGGUGGUUCAGUGGUAGAAUGCUCGGCUGCUUCGCGGGACAACUUGAGUCGAUUCCCGGCUAAUACA
Danio rerio (zebrafish) is the source of this 71-nucleotide non-coding RNA. Lineage: Eukaryota; Metazoa; Chordata; Actinopteri; Cypriniformes; Danionidae. The record is from Rfam.